Molecule: ribosomal RNA, 291 nt
Filed under: uncultured prokaryote
Description: partial 16S ribosomal RNA
Rfam family: Bacterial small subunit ribosomal RNA
Source: RNAcentral
GUGCCAGCAGCCGCGGUAAUACGUAGGUCCCGAGCGUUGUCCGGAUUUAUUGGGCGUAAAGCGAGCGCAGGCGGUUAGAUAAGUCUGAAGUUAAAGGCUGUGGCUUAACCAUAGUACGCUUUGGAAACUGUUUAACUUGAGUGCAAGAGGGGAGAGUGGAAUUCCAUGUGUAGCGGUGAAAUGCGUAGAUAUAUGGAGGAACACCGGUGGCGAAAGCGGCUCUCUGGCUUGUAACUGACGCUGAGGCUCGAAAGCGUGGGGAGCAAACAGGAUUAGAAACCCGCGUAGUCC